UCUCUCUCUCGCUCUCGUCUCUCUGCGCUAGUUUUCUCCACAAAAUAACCUUCAUCUUCCCACUCUUUAUCCUCCUCCGCUUCUCCCCUUCUUCGUUCACUUCCCUCAACGGAGAUCGACGAACGAGAUUGCCCGACGAGCUUUUGCGCCCGAUUUCUGGUUCCUUAUUUCGCUUCUUGUUCCAAAUAGGCUGACGGAGUGUUCUCUUCCAUUGUUUCGGGCGAGUUAGGGUGUUGGAGCGAGAUCUGAACCCAGAUCGAGUGCUUUGGGAUGUUGAUCUUUGAAAUUUGGUGAGUAAUUUGCGGAAUUUUUUGCUCUCUAGAACGGCUUGAGAGAGAAAUAAAAUGACUUGAGAGCGAGAUACAGAGAGAAACAACGAAAGAAAAACUAGGGCGUCAGUGGCUAAAGGUAGAAGGAUACGUGUUGGACAAUGGGAGGCCGCGAGGCAGACACCAAGGGACCGAGAACAUCAGUUGCGCUGGAGCAUCCGCCGGCAACAAGCUCUAGCCCCAGUGCAGCAGUCUAUCCGGAAUGGUCUGGAUUUCAGGCAUACCCGUCCAUUCCUCCACAUGGCUUCUUCCAUUCACCAGUGGUAUCAAGCCCUCAGGCUCAUCCAUACAUGUGGGGAGCACAGCACCUUUUGCCGCCUUAUGGGACUCCACCACCUCCAUAUGUUAUGUAUCCUCAUGGAAUAUAUACACAGCCAUCUGUGCCACCUGGUUCACAACCAUUUAGUCCUUAUGCUAUGACCUACCCUAAUGGCAGUGCUGAAACUUGUAAGAGUGUGCCUGCAAUCACUGAAGGAGAUAUUAAAUCAUCCGAGGGUAAGGAAAGGAAUUCUAUUCAAAGGUUAAAAGGAAGUCUUGGAAGUUUGAACAUAAUAGCAGGAAAGAACAGCAAUGAGCCAGAUAAAACUUCAGUUGCAGGUGACAGAGUCUUGUCGCAAAGUGAUAGUGGAAGUGAUGAUUCAAGCGAAGGAAGUGAUGCAAAAUCUGAGGACGACUUGGAACAAAAAACGAGAGGCAAACAGGAGCUUCUGGAUGAGAUAUCCAGAAAUGGCACAAAUGGUGUGAUCACUGCACCAACAUGGGCAACAUCACAUCAGACAAUGCCGAUUAUGCAUAUGCUACCAGCUGGAGUACCUGGAGUGGUUGCUGGUCCCACCACAAACUUGAGUAUAGGGAUGGAUUACUGGGUUUCUCCAACAUCUGCCAUUCCUCCAGAGCAUGGGAAGGUCCCUGCAGCAGCAGCUACAGGAGCCAUGAUUUCCGGUGCACUUGUUGGGGCCACUGAGAAGGUUCCAUCAGAGAUUUGGCAACAGGAUGAAAGAGAACUCAAAAGGCAGAGGAGAAAGCAGUCAAACAGGGAAUCCGCACGUCGGUCGAGAUUGCGCAAGCAGGCAGAGUAUGAAGAAUUGGCUCAGCGUGUUGAGGCUCUAAGAGAUGAGAAUGCUGCUCUUCAAGCAGAAGUAGAGCAGAUCAAGAAAGAAUACGAUGCACUUGUUGCAUUAAAUGCCACUCUGAAGGAGAGAACUGGGGAAACAACAAAAGAAAAAGAAGAUUUGAUAAUCAAGGAGAGAAGCCAUCAUGCUGAUGACAACGUCCAGAGGAACAUGGAUUCUGAUCCACCAACGGGGCCAUCAGAAAAUAAUCAGAUUGAUCAAUAAAACAGCAACUUCUACAGUAAUUUCCUCAAGUCUAAGCCUGACUAGAUCAUGACAGUGCCCUACCUCCUAAUAGAUUGACAUGAAAAAUUGAUGCAGUUGCUUAUUUCUGGGUACCACAUUGUAUAUACUGACAUUUCAGCAUGGUCCCUUUGGUGUUUUUGUCUUGACUCAUCUUUUAACAGUCAAGCCAAGCAGCGGGUAUAAUGCUGGAAUUAGUGCUCAUUAUUUAGAGCAACACCAGGAAACUUGUUCUACACAUGCUGUUAAUUCUGAGGAGCAACCUACAUCUUUAGGAGGAUGAAUGCAGUUCCUUCUAAAGCAUCUUCCAUAAGACUCUGCAGCUGCUGUGCCCACACAAUUACUGCCAAAUGUCGACUGAAAGCAAUGUCUUGCACCAAAGAACAUUGUUUCGACCAAUCUGGUAUGGUCUUUUUCUUUUCUUCCAUAGCAAAUCAUGGACUAAUUUCCACCUUGCAUGAUGAACAUUAUCUUUUGGACUCCCCAACCCCUCAUUCCCUCAUCUCCAACUGGCCAUGCUUUUUGUGCCAUGUGGCAUGACCAUAUCUUGAGUCAUGAGAUGGCCACCAAGCAAUCUCCAUGCAUCGUAACCCUCAAAAACACCUAGUUUGCAGGGUUCAUAAACCAAGAGAAGAUUUUAAAUGCAUGUAAAUUCCUUCUUUUUUUAUUUUUUAAUUUCACUGUCAGAUGAAGCUAGAAGACAACCUUCACAUAGGAAACCCAAACUCCCACCUCAAUAAGCUCCCCAGUUUUUGUCCAUCACUAGGACAAAUGAC
Musa acuminata subsp. malaccensis (wild Malaysian banana) is the source of this 2460-nucleotide non-coding RNA. The record is from RefSeq and is a predicted model, not a curated record. NCBI's taxonomy places the organism in Eukaryota, Viridiplantae, Streptophyta, Magnoliopsida, Zingiberales, Musaceae.